This 253-nucleotide ribosomal RNA is filed under the name uncultured bacterium. RNAcentral describes it as "partial 16S ribosomal RNA". It matches the Rfam family "Bacterial small subunit ribosomal RNA", at positions 524 to 776 of the family's 1533-position model. The record is from RNAcentral.
UACGUAGGCGGCGAGCGUUGUCCGGAUUUACUGGGCGUAAAGGGAGCGUAGGCGGGCUUUUAAGUGAGAUGUGAAAUACUCGGGCUCAACUUGAGUGCUGCAUUUCAAACUGGAAGUCUAGAGUGCAGGAGAGGAGAAUGGAAUUCCUAGUGUAGCGGUGAAAUGCGUAGAGAUUAGGAAGAACACCAGUGGCGAAGGCGAUUCUCUGGACUGUAACUGACGCUGAGGCUCGAAAGCGUGGGGAGCAAACAGG